This 69-nucleotide transfer RNA is filed under the name Anomaloglossus rufulus. Its description in RNAcentral is "tRNA-Ala". It matches the Rfam family "tRNA". Rfam says of the family: Transfer RNA (tRNA) molecules are approximately 80 nucleotides in length. Their secondary structure includes four short double-helical elements and three loops (D, anti-codon, and T loops). The record is from RNAcentral. Lineage: Eukaryota; Metazoa; Chordata; Amphibia; Anura; Aromobatidae.
GAGACUUUGUCUUAAUUAAAGUAUUUGAGUUGCAUUCAGAAGAUGGGGGUUGAUAUCCCCCAAGUCUUG